UACGUAGGGUGCAAGCGUUAAUCGGAAUUACUGGGCGUAAAGCGUGCGCAGGCGGUUAUAUAAGACAGGUGUGAAAUCCCCGGGCUCAACCUGGGAACUGCAUCUGUGACUGUAUAGCUAGAGUACGGUAGAGGGGGAUGGAAUUCCGCGUGUAGCAGUGAAAUGCGUAGAUAUGCGGAGGAACACCGAUGGCGAAGGCAAUCCCCUGGACCUGUACUGACGCUCAUGCACGAAAGCGUGGGGAGCAAACAGG
This 253-nucleotide ribosomal RNA is filed under the name uncultured bacterium. Its description in RNAcentral is "partial 16S ribosomal RNA". It matches the Rfam family "Bacterial small subunit ribosomal RNA", at positions 524 to 776 of the family's 1533-position model. The record is from RNAcentral.